AGAUCAACGGCUGGGAAGAUGGGGUCUAUUGAGUAUUAAAGUGUCGGAUUACCCCCUCCCUCACCCCCACCCUCGUAUCUUCGUCCCCAAAUAGCCUGUAACCCCAUCGCCAGAAAUCAUCCAUGGCGGCGGCCCAUCUCAAUUUGACCCUAAAAUAACACCCUGAACUCCCUUUCUCCUCCUCUAUCAAAAUCCACCAUCCUUUUCCUUAGAAUCUUACCUGAACGCGUCGAAUAUCGGAUCACAAAUUCUCCAGCCAAGAUGCUACCUCGCCCAAAUCGGUCCAAAUUAAUACCCUGGGUCCAUUUCCCCUUCCCCUAUUAAAAUUCCCAUCCAGUUUAUCUCGGAUCUGCAUGGAACUGUUCGAAUUUCAAUUUGAAUAUUUUCUGACCAAAACCCUAAUUGCCCCAAACUUCACCAAUUUGAUACCAAAUGACCCCCUAACCUUCCUCGUAGUGAAUGCGACAUCCGUAGAGCAUAUUUUUUACCAUAGGUGGCCGGAUUCGAAUUUCGAGAAUUAACCGGAGUCUUGAAGUGGAGUCAGUAAGUUUUACGAGUUUCUUUUCUUUUUAUUUUUCUUGGUGUUCAUUUACCUUUCAUGCCUGUUUAGUUUCUUAAUUUGUUUGGUAAUAAUUGUUAGUCCGAAAAUUAAUAAUUUUUCUUCAAUUCUGUGAAUCCUUAUUGGCCUACUUUUUAGGUUAAGUGGUUAUUUGUUUAUGCUAAUAGUUUGGAUUUAUUUCAAUCUUUUUUAUUAAAUAAUAACUUGUAGUAUUAGGUUUCAAUUAUGAUUUUGAUUAGUUAACAAUUGUUUGAAUGUCAUUUGGUUAUCAAUACUGAUUAGUUUAGCUUAUGGUCAUUCUUGUUGAUUGUUGUUGUUAAUUUGGUUCAGUGAAUAGGUUAGAUAAUAAUUUGGAUUAGCAUUAUAUUUUGUAGUUGAUCAAUUCAGAGCUUAGGGAAUUGUUUGGUUAUAGCUGCUAUUUAGCUUAAACUCAGGGGUAAAAUAGGUAGUUCAAGGGUAGGGAAUUUAGAAUGAACUUCCGAGGAGCUUCUAGAUGAGGGCUUUUAGGUGAAUUGCAAAAGAUAGGUGUAGUUACUUGGAUAAUAAGUUAAUAAAUAAGGGACUAAUCUGAUAAUAAAGAAGGACUAGGAUAGAAAAGGAAAAAGUCUGAUAAGGCCUCACUUGUACUGAUAAAAGGGCAUGAUUUUUGCUUCAUUCACAAGUUUUUGAGCCAUCAAAUUCCCCCAAAUCAAGCUCUUCUCUAAUUUUUAGAUCUGAAUAUGAAAUUCAAACAUUCAAAAAUCCAAAAACAACAAAAAAUCACAAAAAUUCAUUGUUUCAUUGCCUUUUGAGAUCAUUUUCAAAUUCCUAUUUGAAUUUCUCUAUUUCUGCUCUAAUUUUGAGUUUUUAAAAAACAUCUAGAAGUAUUUGGUAACUGGUUCGAGUGACUUUGGAUUUGCUUGAGUUGGUUUUUGGGUGAGUUUUACUCCAGUGAAGUUUCAAAAGCAUUUAAGUUCAAUUUCGAAGAUAUUUGGGUGCAUUUCGAGUCAUUGUGUUGCUAUUCCAGUCAUUUGGGUCAAUUUCCUGCAUAAUUUGUAUACUGACAUAUGUUGAAUCCAUUUGAAAUUGCUUUUGGAUUGGGACUAGCUGUGAUUGUCCUUAGCUACUGCUGAUCUACUGAUCUGCUUUGUUCUCUUUGUAUUGCAUUUCUUCCAGGUACACAUUUCGAGUUGAUUUUGAUAUAUCUUUCUCCUAUUGACAACAUGAAUAGAAGCUGAAAUCAAUUCUCUGCCUUGGAUAUGUUAUUUCAUUAUGUUUAAAUAAUUUUGUUGUGAUUUUGUGGUUGAAGAUUGUAAUCACAUUUAGAGUGACUGGAUUGAAAUUGUUAUGUAAUAACUGGACUAUGAAGUUAGUUCUCAUAUUAUUUGUUAGAUGAAUAGGUUCGAUUCAGUAUAGUUCAAUUCUUGGUUAUUAGUACAUGUUAUAGUGAAACUGGGCUUUCAAAUUGUUAUAUUUGAAUUUGUUUUAGCUAGAGUAUAAUUUAGUUUGAUUAGUCCAGUUUUAAAUUUUGAGGUUAGAAAAUUGGCUGAUGUAGAAAUGAUUUCGAGCUUUCAUGUGUAAUGAUAAUGAGAGAUUGAGUUGUUAAUUGGCACUUUAGCCUCUCGUUUGUGUCAAUGCCUUAUUUCCUUAAGUAGUAAUUUCAGUAGUUCUAUAUUAGUGGUGCUAAAUUGAAUCACUUUGAGAGUAAUUAGUCUAUCAAAAUCGUGUUCCACUUAGCCUUAGUCAAUUUGAGCAAUAAAAACGGAAAUCAAUUGACCAAUAUCUUCGUUGUUUUGUGCAAAUAAAUAAUCGUUUUCCUUGUUACAAAUAGCUGGAUGCACUUUUUGAAUAACUUGAAAUAAUCUUAAUAAAUCUUUUCUCUCAUUGAAUUGAAAUUUGGUUUGGUCUCACAAUCUAAGCCUAACAGUCUACUUUCGGACAGUUUGGGCCUCAGCAUUUUUGACAGAUGGCCCAGGCAUACAAUUGGCCUACCCUUCAGGCACACUUGGGUAAUGGUUCCUUUUAUGGGCUAUGUUUAGGGCCUGAGCUGGUCAAGGGUCAGAUUCUCAUAGACCCAAAUAUAGUAAUAGUUAAACCUUACUAAUUGAUUAGGACUUUGUUUUCUUUUAUUAU
RNAcentral lists this long non-coding RNA (2671 nucleotides) under Nicotiana benthamiana. Its description in RNAcentral is "long non-coding RNA (NBEN_LNC017665)". The record is from RNAcentral. Lineage: Eukaryota; Viridiplantae; Streptophyta; Magnoliopsida; Solanales; Solanaceae.